CCUAGCAAAUGCGGUGGCUUUCUGUAAAUUUCCUCCCUAUCCAAUCAAAACCCAUCCAAACCCUCGCUCGAUCCCCUCUCGCCCCACCCGCCGGCGGCGCCACCGCCAGAGCCACCGGCUCCCCCCCACCUCUGAUCCGGCGCUGCCGCGCCCUCUCGUCUCCUCCUUGUCCCAGAUCGGGAGCAGCUGAGCUCGGCGGAGGAGCAGCAGCAGCGACAUCUCAAGUUAGCAGUACAGGCAGUAUGGAUGGAACAAUGCAUGCUCCAAGCGGCGCCGAGCCACGUGUUGCUGCCCACUCUAGCGUGAACGGCAACGGCGCUGCCAGGCGCUUGCAUGAUGAAUGGCUGGAAGAGUAUGAAGCAGGUGUUUUCAUGAAGCUGAAGGACCUCGGUGACGGCACCCGAGAGCUGAAGAGGGUUCGGUUCAGCAAAAGGCGCUUUGGGGAGCAUCAGGCUGAGAAUUGGUGGAAAGAGAACCGCGAGAAGGUUUACGAGCGAUACAAUAUAAGGACCUCCCAACGAGCGUCGUCAGCAGCCCCAACCCACUCGGCCUAAUAACGUACCUUCCUGUUUCUUCACGCACAAACUGCAAGGCCAACCAUCAACGAGCAGCAGCAAAUCGUGAACGAAAUUAAGGGUUAUGUCAUAUGUGUACUGGGGGUGCAGACCGCCAUAUGUGAUCUUUAUCGUCUCUAGAUACUGUGGUAUUGGUAAGACUGGGGUACCUGGAUAUAUAUGCUCAACGUUUGAUCCAAUAUGAGGAAUUUUGACUUAGGAUUUCAAGUAAUUGGGAUCAAAGGCAUGGUACACUCUACCCUUUUUGGUCGCCGAUUUCUGCAUGUGCCGCUGUUGAAGAAAUAAAUACUCCUUCCAUGUCGCAAUACAAGUCGUUUUGGACAUUGACAUGGCUUCCAAGUUGGCAUGACGACUAGAGUAUGGAGUAUCUGAAAGUUGAAGUUAUGUAGCAGUAACAAGAAAAGAAGGAGAAAUUGGAAGACGAAACUAAGCAAGAAAAUUCUCCAGGAGCAUGAUCACCGAGUCACUCACUGACAGUUCAGGCUUCAUAGUUCAUUCCAUCUUCAGAAUGGGUUUCUUUGGAUUUCUAGCAAGCUGGGUCCGGAACUGUUCCUUGAGCCGUGCUUCCCUCUCUAACUCUGUACCCGCACGGUCCAUCUUGAAAUGAACGCUAAGCAAUACUUCCUUGAUGCUCGGGA
Molecule: RNA transcript, 1213 nt
Organism: Triticum aestivum (bread wheat)
Lineage: Eukaryota; Viridiplantae; Streptophyta; Magnoliopsida; Poales; Poaceae
Gene name: protein Brevis radix-like 2
Exons: 7
Source: RefSeq, a predicted model, not a curated record